CCUACGGGAGGCAGCAGUGAGGAAUAUUGGUCAAUGGACGAGAGUCUGAACCAGCCAAGUAGCGUGAAGGAUGACUGCCCUAUGGGUUGUAAACUUCUUUUAUAUGGGAAUAAAACGUUCCACGUGUGGGAUUUUGUAUGUACCCUAUGAAUAAGGAUCGGCUAACUCCGUGCCAGCAGCCGCGGUAAUACGGAGGAUCCGAGCGUUAUCCGGAUUUAUUGGGUUUAAAGGGAGCGUAGGUGGAUUGGUAAGUCAGUUGUGAAAGUUUGCGGCUCAACCGUAAAAUUGCAGUUGAAACUGGCAGUCUUGAGUACAGGAGAGGUAGGCGGAAUUCGUGGUGUAGCGGUGAAAUGCUUAGAUAUCACGAAGAACUCCGAUUGCGAAGGCAGUUCACUGGACUGCAACUGACACUGAGGCUCGAAAGUGUGGGUAUCAAACAGGAUUAGAUACCCUUGUAGUC
RNAcentral lists this ribosomal RNA (460 nucleotides) under uncultured bacterium. Its description in RNAcentral is "partial 16S ribosomal RNA". It matches the Rfam family "Bacterial small subunit ribosomal RNA", at positions 338 to 795 of the family's 1533-position model. The record is from RNAcentral.